Molecule: transfer RNA, 68 nt
Filed under: Monomorium pharaonis (pharaoh ant)
Lineage: Eukaryota; Metazoa; Arthropoda; Insecta; Hymenoptera; Formicidae
Description: tRNA-Met
Source: RNAcentral
AAAUAAGUAAGCUAAAAUAAGCUAUUAGGCUCAUACCCUAAAUAUAGAUCAAACUAAUCUCUUAUUUA